This 499-nucleotide ribosomal RNA is filed under the name uncultured bacterium. Its description in RNAcentral is "partial 16S ribosomal RNA". It matches the Rfam family "Bacterial small subunit ribosomal RNA", at positions 28 to 507 of the family's 1533-position model. The record is from RNAcentral.
GAUGAACGCUGGCGGCGUGCCUAAUACAUGCAAGUCGAGCGAACAGACGAGAGUGCUUGCACUCUCUGACGUUAGCGGCGGACGGGUGAGUAACACGUGGGUAACCUACCUAUAAGACUGGGAUAACUUCGGGAAACCGGAGCUAAUACCGGAUAAUAUUUAGCUUCGCAUGAAGCAAUAGUGAAAGACGGUUCUGCUGUCACUUAUAGAUGGACCCGCGGUGUAUUAGCUAGUUGGUGAGGUAACGGCUCACCAAGGCAACGAUACAUAGCCGACCUGAGAGGGUGAUCGGCCACACUGGGACUGAGACACGGCCCAGACUCCUACGGGAGGCAGCAGUAGGGAAUCUUCCGCAAUGGACGAAAGUCUGACGGAGCAAUGCCGCGUGAGUGAAGAAGGUUUUCGGAUCGUAAAACUCUGAUGUAAGGGAAGAACAAGUACGUUAGUAACUGAACGUACCUUGACGGUACCUUACCAGAAAGCCACGGCUAACUACGUG